CUUACAUCAUCCGUCACAAUAAAUCAUCUUUAUGGUUUAGACAACACCCAAUUUACUAUAAAAAGCGAGGAAGUUUGAAGUUUCUCUUCACAUUUCUCUUGCUUGCGAAAAGGAUCCUAGAGCAACUGGAAGAAAACAAAAUGGGAAAGCUUACACUUAUUGCAGGACUGGGCUUGGUGCUCUGCCAUGUUG
Long non-coding RNA from Labeo rohita (rohu), 192 nucleotides. RefSeq lists it as uncharacterized. The transcript has 3 exons. The record is from RefSeq and is a predicted model, not a curated record. NCBI's taxonomy places the organism in Eukaryota, Metazoa, Chordata, Actinopteri, Cypriniformes, Cyprinidae.